RNAcentral lists this small RNA (488 nucleotides) under uncultured Paraglomus. RNAcentral describes it as "SSU rRNA". It matches the Rfam family "Eukaryotic small subunit ribosomal RNA", at positions 569 to 1063 of the family's 1831-position model. The record is from RNAcentral. Lineage: Eukaryota; Fungi; Glomeromycota; Glomeromycetes; Paraglomerales; Paraglomeraceae.
AGCAGCCGCGGUAAUUCCAGCUCCAAUAGCGUAUAUUAAAGUUGUUGUGGUUAAAAGGCUCGUAGUUGAACCUUGGGCCUGGCUGGCCGGUCCGCCUCACCGCGUGUACUGGUCCGGCCGGGCCUUUCCCUCUGUGGAACCCCAUGCCCUUCACUGGAUGUGGCGGGGAAACAGGACUUUUACUGUGAAAAAUUAGAGUGCUCCAGGCAGGCCUAUGCUCGAAUACAUUAGCAUGGAAUAAUAGAAUAGGACGUGUGGUUCUAUUUUGUUGGUUUCUAGGACCGCCGUAAUGAUUAAUAGGGACAGUCGGGGGCAUCAGUAUUCAAUUGUCAGAGGUGAAAUUCUUGGAUUUAUUGAAGACUAACUACUGCGAAAGCAUUUGCCAAGGAUGUUUUCAUUAAUCAGGAACGAAAGUUAGGGGAUCGAAGACGAUCAGAUACCGUCGUAGUCUUAACCAUAAACUAUGCCGACUAGGGAUCGGACGAUGU